RNAcentral lists this ribosomal RNA (253 nucleotides) under uncultured bacterium. Its description in RNAcentral is "partial 16S ribosomal RNA". It matches the Rfam family "Bacterial small subunit ribosomal RNA", at positions 524 to 776 of the family's 1533-position model. The record is from RNAcentral.
UACAGAGGUCUUAAGCGUUGUUCGGAUUCAUUGGGCGUAAAGGGCGCGUAGGCGGCAAGGCAAGUCGGGUGUGAAAGCUUGGGGCUUAACCCCGAAAGGGCACUCGAAACUGCCCUGCUAGAGGGCCGGAGAGGAGAUCGGAAUUCACGGUGUAGCAGUGAAAUGCGUAGAGCUCGUGAGGAAGACCGGUGGCGAAGGCGGAUCUCUGGACGGCCCCUGACGCUGAGGCGCGAAGGCUAGGGGAGCAAACGGG